Molecule: long non-coding RNA, 925 nt
Organism: Engraulis encrasicolus (European anchovy)
Lineage: Eukaryota; Metazoa; Chordata; Actinopteri; Clupeiformes; Engraulidae
Exons: 4
Source: RefSeq, a predicted model, not a curated record
UUUGUCGCAUUAAAAUAAUUCGCUCGAAAUAGGUGGUUCAGGGUUAAGUUGUAUCGCAUCAGAAGUGAUGGAAAAGGUUAAUGCGAUACAGACUGCCCACGCAGGCGCAGAUGGUAUUGGUAAAACACAGCGCGAGCAUUCAAAUGUUGUUGUUGAGCCGCUCACAGCUUCCCAUUUCAUCUAUUCUGUCAAAAAAAGCAACCAACUGUGAUCACCGCCGUGAAUAAAGCCACAGUUGACAACGGUAACGGUCUCCAGCUAGGAUGGAAAAGACCAUGAGUUGACAAGGUUUGAGUACAGUUUUUUCACAGUAUCAGAAUUCCAGGGCAGUCCUCCUCCCGUCUGAAGAUAUGUUAACGGUGGUGUAGCCACAGAUGGGUGUGUGGAGACUGUGAAGAUGGAAUUUGCCAGUGCUCUACAGCUCCAGCCCUUUACCCUCUGCACAAUGUUUACAAUGUUGUGGAUAACAGUAAUUUACAUUUAGCUGAUGUUUCAACGAAUAUGACUUGCAUGCAGUUAAUACAUACUGCUUUCAGUCCCUGAAGCAAUGUGGGUACCAACAACACAAGAAGCAGCCCCAUGUACAGGCAUGUCAUGAGUCGUGUUCAAUGUAAUCUUUUUUCUUUUUUAAAUAAACAUUUACUAUUAUGAUCCCAAUGUUUCUUGUGCCUGAGAUCUGUAUGUAGUUUUACUAUUUGACUUCUCGUUGUAGUGCUGUCUGUUCACUGAAGUUGCACACAGGAAAGGCCAGAACAGGUUUUAAGUAUGUGUAAUUUAUUAAUUUAUUGUUUUUACUUCAUACAAAUGCACACAGCCAUUAUUUAUCAACUACUUUCAAUUGCAGAGGGAUUUAGCUGUACAAAUUGUGUAGUUUAUUUACAGCUCUGGUUUGUACAAACCAAACGAAACAGUCUUUGCAGGCAUG